RNAcentral lists this ribosomal RNA (584 nucleotides) under Clostridioides difficile. Its description in RNAcentral is "partial 23S ribosomal RNA". It matches the Rfam family "Bacterial large subunit ribosomal RNA", at positions 2338 to 2925 of the family's 2925-position model. The record is from RNAcentral. Lineage: Bacteria; Bacillati; Bacillota; Clostridia; Peptostreptococcales; Peptostreptococcaceae.
UCGUACGUAGAGUGUAAAGGCAAAAGAGAGCUUGAUUGCAAGACAUACAGGUCGAGCAAGGAUGAAAAUCGGACUUAGUGAUCCGGUGGUUCUGCGUGGAAGGGCCAUCGCUCAACGGAUAAAAGCUACCCUGGGGAUAACAGGCUUAUCUCCCCCAAGAGUCCACAUCGACGGGGAGGUUUGGCACCUCGAUGUCGGCUCAUCACAUCCUGGGGCUGUAGUAGGUCCCAAGGGUUGGGCUGUUCGCCCAUUAAAGUGGUACGCGAGCUGGGUUCAGAACGUCGUGAGACAGUUCGGUCCCUAUCCGUCGCAGGCGUAGGAAAUUUGAGAAGACCUGUCCUUAGUACGAGAGGACCGGGAUGGACGUACCUCUGGUGUACCAGUUGUCCUGCCAAGGGCAUGGCUGGGUAGCUAUGUACGGAAUGGAUAAGCGCUGAAAGCAUCUAAGCGCGAAGCCAACUUCAAGAUAAGAUUUCCCACCGCAAGGGUAAGACCCCAGAAAGACUAUCUGGUUGAUAGGUCGAAGGUGUAAGUGCAGCAAUGUAUUUAGCUUAUCGAUACUAAUAGGUCGAGGACUUGACCAA